Molecule: long non-coding RNA, 255 nt
Organism: Apis mellifera (honey bee)
Lineage: Eukaryota; Metazoa; Arthropoda; Insecta; Hymenoptera; Apidae
Exons: 3
Source: RefSeq, a predicted model, not a curated record
UAGGUAAAGGUUGAAGUCGAAGGAGAGGCGACAAUCUAUUGGAGGACAAUUAAAGAGGGACGUCGUCUUUUCGUCCAACGUAACGUAACGAAAGUGUAAUCGUAACAUCUCGAGUACGUAGAAAUUUUAUUAAAGCGUGUAAUAACGACUAUCUGUCCAGACGAGGCGAACAGGCGAUUGUAUGUAUCUUACAACACUGACCUAAUAAUCUACUAGAAAUGACACGUGGUAAAAAUGGUAAGAGUAUCUCUAGUU